Molecule: ribosomal RNA, 774 nt
Filed under: uncultured Bacillota bacterium
Lineage: Bacteria; Bacillati; Bacillota
Description: bacterial SSU rRNA
Rfam family: Bacterial small subunit ribosomal RNA
Source: RNAcentral
UCGAGCGAGAAAGGGUAGCAAUACCUGAGUAAAGCGGCGCACGGGUGAGUAACACGUGGAUAACCUGCCUCAAAGUGGGGAAUAACACCGGGAAACCGGUGCUAAUACCGCAUAUUCUGAUGGAGUCUGUGGACUUUGUCAGUAAAGGAGCAAUUCGCUAUGAGAGGGGUCCGCGGCUGAUUAGCUAGUUGGUGAGGUAAUGGCUCACCAAGGCAACGAUCAGUAGCCGGUCUGAGAGGACGGUCGGCCACACUGGAACUGAGACACGGUCCAGACUCCUACGGGAGGCAGCAGUGGGGAAUUUUUCGCAAUGGGGGCAACCCUGACGAAGCAAUGCCGCGUGGAUGAUGAAGUAUUUCGGUACGUAAAAUCCUUUCGACGGGGACGAAACCGCAAGGUUGACGGUACCCGUAGAAGAAGCCCCGGCUAACUCCGUGCCAGCAGCCGCGGUAAUACGGGGGGGGCAAGCGUUGUUCGGAAUUACUGGGCGUAAAGGGUGCGUAGGCGGCUUUCUAAGUUGGAUGUGAAAACUCUGGGCUCAACCCAGAGACUGCAUCCAAAACUGGAGAGCUUGGGUUCUGGAGGGGAAAGCGGAAUUCCUGGUGUAGCGGUGAAAUGCGUAGAUAUCAGGAGGAACACCGGUGGCGAAGGCGGCUUUCUGGACAGAUACCGACGCUGAGGCACGAAAGCUAGGGGAGCAAACAGGAUUAGAUACCCUGGUAGUCCUAGCCCUAAACGAUGGAUACUUGCUGUGAGGGGGAUUGAAACCCCUUG